RNAcentral lists this ribosomal RNA (515 nucleotides) under uncultured bacterium. Its description in RNAcentral is "partial 16S ribosomal RNA". It matches the Rfam family "Bacterial small subunit ribosomal RNA", at positions 28 to 523 of the family's 1533-position model. The record is from RNAcentral.
GAUGAACGCUGGCGGCGUGCCUAAUACAUGCAAGUCGAGCGAAUGGAUUAAGAGCUUGCUCUUAUGAAGUUAGCGGCGGACGGGUGAGUAACACGUGGGUAACCUGCCCAUAAGACUGGGAUAACUCCGGGAAACCGGGGCUAAUACCGGAUAACAUUUUGAACCGCAUGGUUCGAAAUUGAAAGGCGGCUUCGGCUGUCACUUAUGGAUGGACCCGCGUCGCAUUAGCUAGUUGGUGAGGUAACGGCUCACCAAGGUAACGAUGCGUAGCCGGCAUGGGAGGGUGAUCGGCCACACUGGGACUGAGACACGGCCCAGACUCCUACGGGAGGCAGCAGUAGGGAAUCUUCCGCAAUGGACGAAAGUCUGACGGAGCAACGCCGCGUGAGUGAUGAAGGCUUUCGGGUCGUAAAACUCUGUUGUUAGGGAAGAACAAGUGCUAGUUGAAUAAGCUGGCACCUUGACGGUACCUAACCAGAAAGCCACGGCUAACUACGUGCCAGCCGCCGCAGUAA